GACGAACGCUGGCGGCGUGCUUAACACAUGCAAGUCGAACGGAAAGGCCCUGCUUUUGUUGGGUGCUCGAGUGGCGAACGGGUGAGUAACACGUGAGUAACCUGCCCUUGACUUUGGGAUAACUUCAGGAAACUGGGGCUAAUACCGGAUAGGAGCUCCUGCUGCAUGGUGGGGGUUGGAAAGUUUCGGCGGCUGGGGAUGGACUCGAGGCUUAUCAGCAUGUUGGUGGGGUAGUGGCUUACCAAGGCUUUGACGGGUAGCCGGCCUGAGAGGGUGACCGGCCACAUUGGGACUGAGAUACGGGCAAGACUCCUAUGGGAGGCAGCAGUGGGGAAUUUUGCACAAUGGGCGGAAGCAUGAUGCAGCAACGCCGCAUGCGGGAUGACGGCCUUCGGGUUGUAAACCGCUUUCGACUGUGACGAAGCGUGAGUGACGGUAAUGUGUCAAGAAGCGCCGGCUAACUACGUG
This 468-nucleotide ribosomal RNA is filed under the name uncultured bacterium. RNAcentral's name for it is "partial 16S ribosomal RNA". It matches the Rfam family "Bacterial small subunit ribosomal RNA", at positions 28 to 507 of the family's 1533-position model. The record is from RNAcentral.